GAUGAACGCUGGCGGCGUGCCUAAUACAUGCAAGUCGAGCGAACAGACGAGGAGCUUGCUCCUCUGACGUUAGCGGCGGACGGGUGAGUAACACGUGGAUAACCUACCUAUAAGACUGGGAUAACUUCGGGAAACCGGAGCUAAUACCGGAUAAUAUAUUGAACCGCAUGGUUCAAUAGUGAAAGACGGUUUUGCUGUCACUUAUAGAUGGAUCCGCGCCGCAUUAGCUAGUUGGUAAGGUAACGGCUUACCAAGGCAACGAUGCGUAGCCGACCUGAGAGGGUGAACGGCCACACUGGAACUAAAACACGGUCCAGACUCCAACGGGAGGCAGCAGUAGGGAAUCUUCCGCAAUGGGCGAAAGCUUGCCGGAGCAACGCCGCGAGAGUGAUGAAGGUCUUCGGAUCGUAAAACUCUGUUAUUAGGGAAGAACAAAUGUGUAAGUAACUAUGCACGUCUUGACGGUACCUAAUCAGAAAGCCACGGCUAACUACGUG
RNAcentral lists this ribosomal RNA (497 nucleotides) under uncultured bacterium. Its description in RNAcentral is "partial 16S ribosomal RNA". It matches the Rfam family "Bacterial small subunit ribosomal RNA", at positions 28 to 507 of the family's 1533-position model. The record is from RNAcentral.